This 459-nucleotide ribosomal RNA is filed under the name Nerita versicolor. Its description in RNAcentral is "partial 16S large subunit ribosomal RNA". It matches the Rfam family "Bacterial large subunit ribosomal RNA", at positions 1913 to 2597 of the family's 2925-position model. Lineage: Eukaryota; Metazoa; Mollusca; Gastropoda; Cycloneritida; Neritidae. The record is from RNAcentral.
CAGUGAUCACUUUAACGGCCGCGGUACCCUGACCGUGCAAAGGUAGCAUAAUCAUUUGCCUUUUAAUUGAAGGCUAGUAUGAAUGGUCCGACGAGAGUAAAACUGUCUCAUAUGUAUUCAAUAGAAAUUAACCUAAAGGUGCAAAGGCCUUUAUUCACCAAAAAGACGAGAAGACCCUGUUGAGCUUUAAUCUUAAUGAACAUUCUUUCUAUAUUUAUAAAUCCACUCUGCUCACUAAAGAUUUUAAUUGGGGCGAUUAAGGAACAAAGACCAGCUUCCUGAUCAUAAAUUAAACCGAUCCAGUAAUGCUGAUCAACAAAAUGAGUUACCACAGGGAUAACAGCAUAAUUCUUCUUGAGAGUUCCUAUCGAAAGAAGAGAUUGUGACCUCGAUGUUGGACUAGGGUAACUAGAAGGUGUAGCCGCUUUCUUGUUUGGUCUGUUCGACCAGUAAUUCCCU